Molecule: ribosomal RNA, 280 nt
Filed under: Parisotoma ekmani
Lineage: Eukaryota; Metazoa; Arthropoda; Collembola; Entomobryomorpha; Isotomidae
Description: partial 28S ribosomal RNA
Source: RNAcentral
GUGUUGGUGACUGAGGGCAUUNGUUAAGUUGUCCGUUCGCGGAUUGGCUGAUGUGUGCUCUUUGACUUGCUGACGAUGCGCCGCAUUUAUUCUCAUCAUCGGGUUGCANGUGACUGAGAUUGGUAGUUUAGGUGCUGGGGAUCUGCGAAGCCUUGUUGUUUCGAGUUCUGGUUUCCAACUACUACUGCGGUCAUUUCACUUUAAUGAGCAGGCGUUUAGGCGCGGUCAAUGGUUUGUNCGNGUUGNGUGCGUGUGAUGNGUGGACGNGCAACCGUAACAC